UUUCCGUAGGUGAACCUGCGGAAGGAUCAUUCAUAAUAAGUGCUUUAUGGCACUUUUUUAAAUCCAUAUCCACCUUGUGUGCAAUGUCAGGGUUGAUUUUUCUCUCGAGAGGAUCAGCCCCCAAACAUCAACUAUAUCUCAACUCUUUGUCUGAAAAAUAUUAUGAAUAAAACAAUUCAAAAUACAACUUUCAACAACGGAUCUCUUGGCUCUC
This 214-nucleotide unclassified non-coding RNA is filed under the name plant metagenome. RNAcentral describes it as "partial contains small subunit ribosomal RNA, internal transcribed spacer 1, and 5.8S ribosomal RNA". The record is from RNAcentral.